UAUGGGGAAUGCCAUUUUGAUAGGCUGUUAUUCUUAUGCAAAAAAAAAAAAAAGGAUCUUUUACUUUUUCCGUUUUGUAGUUCCCGCUCUGCUAUACGCUUCGUCUGCUAUGAGUGGCAGACGACAGCUAACUUAAAUAUAGGGCAACAUCCCCUCUGAUAUCUUCAUAGCUAAGAACUGUCAUGGAAAAGUCAGGUAUAUUGUUGUCAAUAAAACGAUAGUGUUUAUAUGAUUCCAAAUAUAGCCCAGUGUGAUCAGCGCGAGGCGAGGCAUUCCCCACCCUGACAUCCAGUCCAUGUUUUGAAGGAAGUUCAGUGAGGAUCGAAGACCAUUAUAGUAUUAGUAAUAUUGUGAAUACUUCGAGACUAUCAUCAAUGGGACACUAAAUUUUCCGCAAGUGGCUGGGUGUGUUGAAAGACCAUAUAAGCACUGGCAUAUUAGCUAGAGGCCCCAGGGAAGAGGGAGUGAGGAGAGGGAUCAGGCCACCACCGCGCCGCUGCCCGAAUUUUCCGCGGCCACCAAUCGAGCACGACAGGAGUAAAACAGUUGCAGCAUUGAUCAUCAGCAGCAGCAAACAAGACGCACUCCAUCAUUGUACGCAAAAGCAAAUGGUAAGUCAUCGGUGAGGGCUACCGAGCGUGUCGCCUGCGCCUGGGUGAGUGUUGUCCUUAUCAAACUUUGCCGUGGGCUUCAGUACAAGAAACUGUGUUGAGGUGCACGUGCAGGUACUUCUCAAAACACAGAAUAUACGUAAACAAUACCCCUGCAGUAAUUUAGUCCAGGUAUAUCACGUGAUUGAAUCCUAGUACAAGUAGUUUCAGUACAUCUGGCUUGUGUAGGUGAAAUGGCCUCAUAUUCUUAUGUUCUGAUGUUUUUAUUUUUAAUCCUUUGAUUGAUAUCGACAAUAUUACACAUGCUAUUUGAAAAAUGUUCUUUAAUUUUACUUAACGUACAAGUAGUUUCAAAUCAUCUGCUUUGUGUAGGUCAGCUUAUUUUCUGAUGUUAUUAUGUUUAAUUCUUUGACUUUACUAAUGACAAUAUUACUCUUGCUAUUUGAGUAACGUUCCAUGAUUUUACUUCACGAAAUAAAAGUAGGCAUUAACAGGCUGAAUGGAUUUGGUCAUUCCUUUUGGUGUCUGAAUUGUGUGUUUUCUCUCUGUUGCUCUUCAGACUUGCACUACGAUAUUUUAUUAACAUUGAGGAGCCAUGUCAGUCAAAAGGUUAAUGUAAAUAGAAAGUUUUUUUUUUUUUUUUUUUUUUUUUAUGUAAGAAGGUAAAAUACGAACCCUCUCUUUGUGACACUGAAGUUUCCGUUGGUCCAUCCCAUUUCCUUUUAUAAUUUCACAUUUUUAGUGUUUUUAAUAUUUUUACCAUACUGUCAUUUUGUUUUUAAUAUCAAUAUUUCAACCUGCCAUCUUUGCUGCUUUGAACGUUUUGCAGCGGCGCCAUAUGACCUUGAUGCUGUGCCGCCAUAAAAUCAGAUUACUUGAUCAGUCAGUCAAUUAUGUACACGUAAGAGGGGCACUGGCUUGGGGCAAAGAAGGGGGAAAAAGGCCCAAUGAGGUGCCAGUCCCUAAAGAAAAAAAAAAAAAAAAGACAAGCGCAAUGACGCAAUCGUAAAAAAAAUGUGACUGAAACUGUAAACCCCACUUGUGUGCAAACUGUAUGGGGAAGUGAAGCUGUGGAAACGUUUUAGCCUCGUAUCGUCCCGGAAGUGUAGACUGAACAAAGUAAUCCAUUCUUAGGCAUUCCUGUGGGGCAAGAAGGUAAUGACUUGGGGAGGCCAGGGCACGCCGGGAGGAAUGCCAGGGAUGUGUGGCUAAUUUCACAGCUGCUGCACGUGGUUGUGUGUGUGUGUGUGUGUGUGUGUGUGUGUGUGUGUGUGUGUGUGUGGUAACCUUAAAAUGCUUCACACGGGGUAAUGACCUCUCAGAUUUUGCUUUCAUGACGUAAACUUUUCCCUUUGUUGUCAUGGUGAUGUAAACUUUCCACCUUUUUUCAUUAUUUAUUUAUUUACGGAUUCAUCUAUUUAUCUCUUUAUUUUUUUUGGAAGUGGCAUCAUAACAGUUUUCCCUCCCCUCCUUCACCCCUUUCUGCCCUUAGCCAGUCUCCUUCACACUUAAAAAAAAAAGAGAAAAAAUGAGGUAAAGAUUUUCAUAUCGAUGGUGAUGAUGUUAAUGACUGAUACUUGUGAUGAUGAGGUGGUAAUGACGAUUGUGGUGGAGAUGGUGGUGAUGAUUGGUACUGGUGAUGGUAGUGCUGAUCGUAAAUAUUGGUCGUGGUGGUGGUGGUGGUGGUUGUAGUGUUGCUUCGGCGAUGAAAAAGUUGUUGUUGUUACUUGUUGUUGUUGUUGUUGUUGUUGUUGCUGCUGCUGCUGCAAUUGUGAACCUAGACUGAGAUAGAGAGAGAACAAACAGUGAUAAACUUGGAACUUGGAAAUGAGGUGACAACGAACGCUAUGGAUCAAGAAUAAAUUAUGCAGGUUGUAGUUGUAAUACACAAUAAGCAAAGCAGGACGUGCAUCAUUCAUUAAGUCGUGCGGUGCAUUAAAAGAUACUGCACUUUUUAUAUAUAUAUACUUGUGAAUAAAAAGAGAGAGAAAAAUAAAAGGAACGAAAGACUUAAAUGAUUGUCUUCAGUAUCAGUUAACAUUUUAUUAACAUCAUCUGAUAAAAGCUUCAGUAUUUGCAUUUACAAUCUCGUACUCUCAUUAAGUUUUGAUUCCCAUCUUGUAAAAUUAUUAAUAUUUUCAG
Scylla paramamosain (green mud crab) is the source of this 2753-nucleotide long non-coding RNA. RefSeq lists it as uncharacterized. Lineage: Eukaryota; Metazoa; Arthropoda; Malacostraca; Decapoda; Portunidae. The record is from RefSeq and is a predicted model, not a curated record. The transcript has 3 exons.